Non-coding RNA from Picea glauca (white spruce), 129 nucleotides. The record is from Rfam. NCBI's taxonomy places the organism in Eukaryota, Viridiplantae, Streptophyta, Pinopsida, Pinales, Pinaceae.
UUUUAUGUACAUGCCUACAACAUAUUGUUGAUGCACUGGAUCCCAUUAGAACUCUGCAGUUAAGUGUGCUCAGGCUAGAGUGCUACUGGGAUGGGUGACCACUCGGGAAGUCCUAGUAUUUUACAAGCC